This 840-nucleotide ribosomal RNA is filed under the name Reticulamoeba gemmipara. RNAcentral describes it as "partial 18S small subunit ribosomal RNA". It matches the Rfam family "Eukaryotic small subunit ribosomal RNA", at positions 553 to 1284 of the family's 1831-position model. Lineage: Eukaryota; Cercozoa. The record is from RNAcentral.
GAGGGMAAGYCUGGUGCCAGCAGCCGCGGUAAUUCCAGCUCCAGUAGCGUAUAUUAAAGUUGUUGCAGUUAAAAAGCUCGUAGUUGGAUUUGUGGUGUCUUGUUUUUUUAUUUGCUUUUUUUGGUCUCUUUUUCAUUGUUUUUAACUUUGAAUCUGAGACUUGGAAGCGAGGACACCAUCCUUGACAGGUUUGAAAGUGAUAUUAUAUCACCGCAAACAUUGUCAUCCUUUACUUUGAAAAAAUUGGAGUGAUUCAAGCAGGCAAGAAUUAUAAUUUUAAUUUUAAUUUAACUUUGCUUCUGCACAUGUUAGCAUGGAAUAAUGCAAGAGGACUUGGGUUUUCUCUUUCAUUGGUUUCAGGAAACCGAGUAAUGAUUGAUAGGGACAGUUGGGGGUGCUCGUACUCGACGGCCAGAGGUGAAAUUCUUGGAUUCGUUGAAGACGAACAACUGCGAAAGCAUUCACCAAGGAUGUCUUCUUUAAUCAAGAACGAAAGUUGGGGGAUCGAAGAUGAUCAGAUACCGUCGUAGUCCCAACCAUAAACGAUGCCGACCAGGGAUCAGCGAGCGUUGACUUGGCGUUCUCGUUAUUUUCUUUUUUGAGAAUUCGUAGAUUUUGCCAACCUCAUUAAUUUGAAACGACCUCGUUGGCACCUUGCGAGAAAUCACCAGUCUUUGGGCUCCGGGGGGAGUAUGGUCGCAAGGCUGAAACUUAAAGGAAUUGACGGAAGGGCACAACCAGCAGUGGAGCCUGCGGCUUAAAUUGACUCAACACGGGGAAACUUACCAGGUCCAGACAUCAUAAGGAUUGACAGAUUGAAGHUCUUUCUUGAUUYKRUGG